GGCAGAACGGGUGAGUAAUCGCGUCGGAACGUACCGAGUAAUGGGGGAUAACGCACCGAAAGGUGUGCUAAUACCGCAUACGCCCUGAGGGGGAAAGUGGGGGACCGCAAGGCCUCACGUUAUUCGAGCGGCCGACGUCUGAUUAGCUAGUUGGUGGGGUAAAGGCCUACCAAGGCGACGAUCAGUAGCGGGUCUGAGAGGAUGAUCCGCCACACUGGGACUGAGACACGGCCCAGACUCCUACGGGAGGCAGCAGUGGGGAAUUUUGGACAAUGGGCGAAAGCCUGAUCCAGCCAUUCCGCGUGAGUGAAGAAGGCCUUCGGGUUGUAAAGCUCUUUCAGCUGGAAAGAAAUCGCUCCGGGCGAAUAUCCCGGGGUCAAUGACGGUACCAGCAGAAGAAGCACCGGCUAACUACGUGCCAGCAGCCGCGGUAAUACGUAGGGUGCGAGCGUUAAUCGGAAUUACUGGGCGUAAAGCGUGCGCAGGCGGAUUGUUAAGCAAGAUGUGAAAUCCCCGGGCUUAACCUGGGAAUGGCAUUUUGAACUGGCAGUCUAGAGUGCGUCAGAGGGGGGUGGAAUUCCACGUGUAGCAGUGAAAUGCGUAGAGAUGUGGAGGAACACCGAUGGCGAAGGCAGCCCCCUGGGAUGACACUGACGCUCAUGUACGAAAGCGUGGGUAGCAAACAGGAUUAGAUACCCUGGUAGUCCACGCCCUAAACGAUGUCAACUGGUUGUUGGGGGAGUGAAAUCCCUUAGUAACGAAGCUAACGCGUGAAGUUGACCGCCUGGGGAGUACGGUCGC
Molecule: ribosomal RNA, 801 nt
Filed under: uncultured Thiobacillus sp.
Lineage: Bacteria; Pseudomonadati; Pseudomonadota; Betaproteobacteria; Nitrosomonadales; Thiobacillaceae
Description: bacterial SSU rRNA
Rfam family: Bacterial small subunit ribosomal RNA
Source: RNAcentral